CACUGUCAUAGGAUGCAACCUUUCCACAAGUCAGUUAGUCAAAUGUCUCUCCUGGGGCCUGUUGCACAAAAGUAGAAUUAAGACAUCCGGGAUAAAUGACUCAGCUGAGCUCAAUGAAGCCAAAACAUGUGCGUCCAGGCUUAAUUGGUUGCACAAAGACCAAGCCAGGAUGAGCAGACACGGAUUCAUUAAGCCAGGUGAAACCAAUCCUGGAUAGGUGCGCGCUCACGGCUCACUCAAAUAGACCCCGCCACAGAUCACAGAUUAACUGAUUUACCAUGGCAACUAGAGCCGCGUACUUUUCCCCGUCGGAAGCACAAAUCCUCAUGGAGGCAUACGAGGAGGUAAAAGAUAUAAUUAAGAAGAAAGGCAACACCGCCACAGUGAUAAAGCAAAGAGAAAAAGCGUGGCAAAGUAUUGCAGACCGCCUGAAUGCGUAAGUAGUGCACAAUUACACACUCACCGCUCCGCUGAAACAUCACAAUUACAAUUCAAAUAUUUAAUUCACAUCUCCAAAAAUGCAGUUGUACUGUAAUUAUGAAACGGUUAAAUUUUUAAUUGAAAUGCACUGCAGAUAUGAGUGAAAUUGUGUAAAGUAACUCCAUCACACUGUAUAAAGCUAUGAUACAUUUUUUGAUAUUUUUACUGAAAACAAGACAAAAAUACCAAGUAAUUUUUUGCAGUGUGAAUCCAUUAAGUGUGUGUGUGUGUGUGUGUGUGUGUGUGUGUGUAGAUUAAACAUGAACGGGCCAAAACGGACAUGGCAGCAGGUCAAAAUCAAAUACAAGAACAUUCUGCAGAAUGCAGUGAAAAAGAAUACCCACAGACAAGGCACGGGUGGUGGGUCACCAAAGGCUGACCUUACCCCAGCAGAGGACAUGGCCUUGGAGCUAAAUAAAGGCAGGCCCGUCUUAGAGGGGAUCCCUGGGGGGAAAGAGACGCGCAUAGGUUCCUCCCAAGAUGCCACCCGCUUCAUUCAAGUGCCUGGCAGCACUGUGUUCCUGUUAGAGCCACCAGCACAAGCACCAGACGAUGCUGAUCCAGGUGAAGGCCCCAGUGCAGCAGCAACAGCACAUGAUGGAGACGAUGAUGAGGAGGAGACCAUCUCUCUGGAUUCCAGAAGGCAUGAGGACCCAGAUGCUAUACAGUGGGAAAACCAGCCUGGCAACAUAGUGCGUAUUAAUAAAAGGACACUACAUCCUGCCAAAUUCCAGCUGCGCUAAUUGCAUUGUGUUCACAGAGCUCACAAGCUAUCAGAAAGUUGUAUGGCAACCACCUCCGGCGCCAAAUAGAACUGGCAGACAUAGACAUUCAGUACAAGAAGAAAAAGAUGGAAAAUCUUGCACUGGAGUCCGAAAUAAAAAAGGACAAUUAGGAAACUGGACCUUGAAAUAAAAAAACUUGAGGGAGGUGAGAUAUGCCUUCAAUGUACACUGUAUGCUAACUGUAACACAAAUGUAUUAAUCAUUAUUUUUCUUUCCUCCCCCAGCUCCAAGAAGAUGACACAGCUCAAAAAAAAAAUUAGGUAUAUUCUCGUAAAGUCAAGUGAGCCAUGACAUAUGAGCUCUUAUUGUGAGCACACAGGACGGUGGCAUCUUUCUAAGGUUUUUUUUAUUUUCCCAGCAAUCAGUACAACCAAGUCAUCGUUAUAAGGCAUCGCCCUCUUUUGCCCACCCCCAGCACCAGGUGUGGCCACUAGCCUAUAUGAAGGCCCAAAAUUGUGUGUUCCUUUCUGCUCUGACAAUGGCAUGCCCAUUCGUGCGAGAUGUGGUGGAUGAAGAAGCACUUGUGCUGAGGAGAGCCUUCAGGCGAGAAAGGGUCUUCAGGGACCGGAUGGACCCACUGGCCUUCCCUGAUGACCAUCUAUAUGAAAGAUACAGGUUUUCUGCAGAUGGCAUCAGGUAUCUAUGCAAACUACUGGGUCCCAGGAUUAAGCACCGCACUGCACGGAGCCAUGCACUGAGUGUGGAGCAAAUGGUUUGUGUGGCCUUGCGCUUUUUGCUAGUGGAGCCUUCCUGUACUCAGUGGGGGAUGCAGAACAGCUGAACAAGGCCACAAUUUGCCGCACAAUAAGGAGUGUGUGUCUGGCUAUCAAAGCAUUAGCAGAUGUCUUCAUCUCCUUCCCUGGCCACAGAAGACUCUGUGACAUCAAAGAGGAGUUCUAUAGGAUUGCAGGUAAGAGGAUCUACAAAUUACAGGACAACUGUUAACACAUAGUAGGAUACUCAUUACUUUGUGUGACAGGUUUCCCCAAUGUCAUUGGUGCAGUGGACUGCACACACAUAAGGAUAAAAGCCCCCUCAGGUGCCCAUGAGGCCGAUUUUGUGAAUAGGAAAUCCUUUCACAGCAUUAAUGUUCAGAUGGUCUGCAAUGCUGACUGUGUGAUCAGCAAUGUUGUGGCAAAAUGGCCUGGCUCAGUCCAUGACUCCAGAAUCUUUCGGGCCUCUGAAAUCUAUCAGUGCCUAUCACAAGGUGAAUUCUCUGGUGUGUUGCUGGGAGACAGGGGGUAUGGCUGCCAGCCUUUUCUCCUGACACCUUUCACAGACCCCCAGGAAGCACAGCAGGCCUACAACCAUGCCCAUGCCAGGACCAGGGCCAGAGUUGAAAUGACCUUUGGCCUCCUGAAGGCACGCUUUCACUGCCUUCACAAAUUAAGGGUCAGCCCUGUUAGGGCAUGUGAUAUUACUGUGGCUUGUGCUGUCCUCCACAAUGUGGCCUGCCUGAGGAAGGAGAGGGCCCCCAGAGUGCCACCAGCCAUGGACUGGGACAAUCCGGCAAUCUUCCCUGAUGACGACAGUGGUCGGCUGCUGAGGGACCAAUAUGUGUUGAAUUAUUUUAGUUAGUAUGUGUGCUUUCAAUUUUGGUUAAAUAUGUCCUGCGGUGGCAGAGGAAUUUGGUUUUUUUGGGUUCGUUUUUGACGAAUUUGGCCUCUUAUGAUGUUUGUGCGGUAUACUGUGUGUAAUACAAGGCUGCAGGGAGGCUACUGCAUCCAUUCAUUUGUCUGUUCAGUUGAUGUGUAUGGAUUUGUCCUGCAUUUAUUUUAGUGUGCAGACAUGCAGGGUGUGUUAUAUACAGACCUUUGAAUGUGUAUGUAUCAUUUUGUAUAAUAUGCUUGGAUUCUGUGCUUUCCAUCUUGUAGAGUCACUGUGACUUCAGUUUCGAAAGGAGCUGAUGGUUUACCUGCUUUGUUUUGUCCUUAUUCAAUAAAGGAACAUAAUGUUACACAUUGUGUUUUUAUAUUCAUAUGGAAUGUGUAUUUGUUUAUAUGACAGAGUACUAGGGCCACACUGAAGAAAAAGGAUAUAGUCAUACAUUUAUGAGGCUGGUUCUUUCUGCAGAAAAGCUACAUAUUGUUUUUACAGUUUUGAUACUUAUGACAAUGUGAUACUUAAUAUUCUGGCACAUCAGCAUGUCUUUGUUUAUGAAACCAUACUGAAGUACAAUUUCACGAAAUGCCCCACAUCUGUCAUUUUAACAACUGUCCUCCUUUAAAACAACUGGUUACAAUAUUAUGACUUGUGUUUUUUUCCCCUCUGUGGCCCUAAUAUUCUAUCAUUUUAUAUAUAGCCUUAUAGUCUAUGGGAAACUGUAAAUUAUC
RNA transcript from Oncorhynchus nerka (sockeye salmon), 3598 nucleotides. It is a transcript of the gene named putative nuclease HARBI1, with no coding region annotated. The transcript has 7 exons. The record is from RefSeq and is a predicted model, not a curated record. NCBI's taxonomy places the organism in Eukaryota, Metazoa, Chordata, Actinopteri, Salmoniformes, Salmonidae.